Molecule: long non-coding RNA, 562 nt
Filed under: Fukomys damarensis (Damara mole-rat)
Lineage: Eukaryota; Metazoa; Chordata; Mammalia; Rodentia; Bathyergidae
Description: lncRNA (ENSFDAG00000024090.1)
Source: RNAcentral
UAAAAAUCUGGGCAGAGAACGAUAUAAGAAAGAAAGAAAUCAGUGCUGCAAAGCUCUUGUAAAAGGUGAUUUCUCCUUUCACUCCAUGACUGAGCAAAAUGAGGCACAAAAAGGUACAGACUAGCUGAAAUACAGACAGCAAGUGAGUGACAGAUACAGGACUGGAAGAUCCAAGAGAGUCUGAAACAAUGUACACUGCGCGUCAGUCCCAACGCCAGCUUGUUCCAGCUCUUCCUGAGUGCUAGGCCCAUCUAGCCUCACGCAGAUCUCUAGACGGACCCCGUAGCGCAACUGGCACAAACCAGGACCACAGCCCUGCGGCAAGGCAGGAGUGUCCUCCUCCAGCAGAGUUAAGCCAAGAAGAUUUUCAAGUUCAGAUUGGAAGAGACGGAGGCAGAGGUGGAGGCGGGGGCAAAAGAGAAUUCGGAGGAGGAGGUGAGGAGGAGGAAAGGGGAGGAGGGAAGGGGGAGGGGAAGAAGAGGGGAAGGAAAAUGUUGGAGGAGGAGGGGGAAAGAAACAGGAGGAGGAGGAGGAGAAGGGGGAGGAGAACCAGGAGGAGGGG